GCCCAUAUAGCUCAGGGGUAGAGCACUUCCUUGGUAAGGAAGAGGUCGGCGGUUCAAUCCCGCUUGUGGGCUCCA
This 75-nucleotide transfer RNA is filed under the name Helicobacter sp. Its description in RNAcentral is "tRNA-Thr". It matches the Rfam family "tRNA". From Rfam's summary of the family: Transfer RNA (tRNA) molecules are approximately 80 nucleotides in length. Their secondary structure includes four short double-helical elements and three loops (D, anti-codon, and T loops). Lineage: Bacteria; Pseudomonadati; Campylobacterota; Epsilonproteobacteria; Campylobacterales; Helicobacteraceae. The record is from RNAcentral. RNAcentral also lists the same sequence under 2 other names.